GGAAAUGCUGUGUACUGAGUGCUGGCCGGGUCGUGCCCUUUUACCCAUGUGUACAGUUUUCCGAAGAGCUUGGCCCAGACAGCCCUAGUGCCUCUGUAUAUAGAUGAAGGUUGUGAGGCUCAGAGAAGGUAAAUGAGGAGCCUGAGGACAUCAGCCUGCCGAGCUCAGGGGCUCCUCGCCCUGCACCCAGCAGCCUCUGGUGUCCCAAGCUGUGGCCUGGCCCAGGGUGGAGGACAUGGCUGACCCAGGUCUCUUGGUGCUGUUUGUCUGGCAACACCUGACGAGGUCUCCUUUUCUGCACCCAUUCCUUCAUUCCUGAGCAUGCUAGGCUGUGUGCUGGCUCCUGGGCAGAACACACUGGAUGAGCCAGGUGCCGUCCUUCCCAUUCAGAGCCUGAAGCUAGUGGGGACCCUAAGGAGAUUCAGGGACAUCCAGCUUUAUGGCUGGGAGUAAUUUUAAAUCCAGCCUCUCUUCAACUUUCACACACCACCUCCACCUGUUCUUCAGUGUGGUGGGGAACAGAACCUAUUGGGGCCCUCACCUUGAGGCAAGCAUGUCUUCCAGGCUGCCCAGCCACAAGGGGGUGCUGUAACAGCCGUGAGCAGGAUUUCCCAGGCUCUAGCUUGCACUCAAUGGCAGGAGCUCUGGCUCUGUUUACCAUGCCCGCAGGGACUUCAAGAGUCCCCAUUUGAGACCCAUGCUGGCCACCUGGGCCACCAUUUGUCUCCCCUCCUGCUCCAGGUGUAUGGGGGAAGACCUGUCUGCCUUCACCUAGGCCAUGUCUUGAUGCUGCCCAAGAAGCCACAUCUUGUGCACAUCUGGUGCAGGGGAUCCUUGCACCAGGCUGGGCAUGAGCCAAGGUUCUCUUCCACGAGCGGAUCCUUUUCCAAGUGGGAACGCCUGGAGAGCCAGGGACUUGAAUCUUUUGGGCGCUGGCGAUUGAACCCAGGGCCUUUACACUGAACUAUAUUCUCAGCCCUUUUUAUUUUUUAUUUUGAGAUAGAGUCUCACUAAGUCACCUAGAUUGACCUUGAACUUGCAAUCCUCCUGCCUCAGCCUCCAGAGUACGAGGGAUUUCAGGCAUGCACCCCUGUGCCCAACUAUUAGAGCCUCUUAUGUUGCCUAGUUGAACUUAAUUUUUAGAGUCACCAUAUGAAAGAGAUAUUCUUACCCCACUUUGCAGAUGAGGGAACCAAGGUACACAGAGAUGGAAUGACCUGGCUGAAGUCAUGUGACUGGUUAGUGGCAGAUGGGGAUUUGAAUUUAGGUCCUGACUGCAAAGAGCUCUUCCCAACAUGUAUGUUGGAUAAAUGAAUGAAAGGAUGAACGAAUAAAUGAGCGAACAAAGACACACAUGCCUGUCCAAGGUGGUGGCUGUCGUUUUUCAGCAUUUUCAGGGUGACUGAUUCGCUCAGGGUCAAGGUACCAGGCAGCAAUGACAGGGCAG
Molecule: long non-coding RNA, 1447 nt
Filed under: Heterocephalus glaber (naked mole-rat)
Lineage: Eukaryota; Metazoa; Chordata; Mammalia; Rodentia; Bathyergidae
Description: lncRNA (ENSHGLG00100052511.1)
Source: RNAcentral